RNAcentral lists this ribosomal RNA (479 nucleotides) under uncultured bacterium. RNAcentral's name for it is "partial 16S ribosomal RNA". It matches the Rfam family "Bacterial small subunit ribosomal RNA", at positions 30 to 507 of the family's 1533-position model. The record is from RNAcentral.
UGAACGCUGGCGGCGUGCUUAACACAUGCAAGUCGAACGAAGCAUUUAAGACAGAUUACUUCGGUUUGAAGUCUUUUAUGACUGAGUGGCGGACGGGUGAGUAACGCGUGGGUAACCUGCCUCAUACAGGGGGAUAGCAGCUGGAAACGGCUGGUAAUACCGCAUAAGCGCACAGUACCACAUGGUACAGUGUGAAAAACUCCGGUGGUAUGAGAUGGACCCGCGUCUGAUUAGCUUGUUGGCGGGGUAACGGCCCACCAAGGCGACGAUCAGUAGCCGACCUGAGAGGGUGACCGGCCACAUUGGGACUGAGACACGGCCCAGACUCCUACGGGAGGCAGCAGUGGGGAAUAUUGCACAAUGGAGGAAACUCUGAUGCAGCGACGCCGCGUGAGUGAAGAAGUAGUUCGCUAUGUAAAGCUCUAUCAGCAGGGAAGAUAGUGACGGUACCUGACGAAGAAGCUCCGGCUAAAUACGUG